This 1233-nucleotide ribosomal RNA is filed under the name Flavobacterium sp. EP333. RNAcentral describes it as "bacterial SSU rRNA". It matches the Rfam family "Bacterial small subunit ribosomal RNA", at positions 97 to 1338 of the family's 1533-position model. Lineage: Bacteria; Pseudomonadati; Bacteroidota; Flavobacteriia; Flavobacteriales; Flavobacteriaceae. The record is from RNAcentral.
GGCGCACGGGUGCGUAACGCGUAUGCAAUCUACCUUUCACAGAGGGAUAGCCCAGAGAAAUUUGGAUUAAUACCUCAUAGUAUAACAUGGCCGCAUGGUCGAGUUAUUAAAGUCACAACGGUGAAAGAUGAGCAUGCGUCCCAUUAGCUAGAUGGUAAGGUAACGGCUUACCAUGGCUACGAUGGGUAGGGGUCCUGAGAGGGAGAUCCCCCACACUGGUACUGAGACACGGACCAGACUCCUACGGGAGGCAGCAGUGAGGAAUAUUGGACAAUGGGCGCAAGCCUGAUCCAGCCAUGCCGCGUGCAGGAUGACGGUCCUAUGGAUUGUAAACUGCUUUUGCACAGGAAGAAACAACAUUACGUGUAAUGUCUUGACGGUACUGUGAGAAUAAGGAUCGGCUAACUCCGUGCCAGCAGCCGCGGUAAUACGGAGGAUCCAAGCGUUAUCCGGAAUCAUUGGGUUUAAAGGGUCCGUAGGCGGUUUAGUAAGUCAGUGGUGAAAGCCCAUCGCUCAACGGUGGAACGGCCAUUGAUACUGCUAGACUUGAAUUAUUAGGAAGUAACUAGAAUAUGUAGUGUAGCGGUGAAAUGCUUAGAGAUUACAUGGAAUACCAAUUGCGAAGGCAGGUUACUACUAAUGGAUUGACGCUGAUGGACGAAAGCGUGGGUAGCGAACAGGAUUAGAUACCCUGGUAGUCCACGCCGUAAACGAUGGAUACUAGCUGUUGGGAGCGAUCUCAGUGGCUAAGCGAAAGUGAUAAGUAUCCCACCUGGGGAGUACGUUCGCAAGAAUGAAACUCAAAGGAAUUGACGGGGGCCCGCACAAGCGGUGGAGCAUGUGGUUUAAUUCGAUGAUACGCGAGGAACCUUACCAAGGCUUAAAUGUAGAUUGACCGGWYUGGAAACAGUUUUUUCGCAAGACAAUUUACAAGGUGCUGCAUGGUUGUCGUCAGCUCGUGCCGUGAGGUGUCAGGUUAAGUCCUAUAACGAGCGCAACCCCUGUUGUUAGUUGCCAGCGAGUCAUGUCGGGAACUCUAACGAGACUGCCAGUGCAAACUGUGAGGAAGGUGGGGAUGACGUCAAAUCAUCACGGCCCUUACGCCUUGGGCUACACACGUGCUACAAUGGCCGGUACAGAGAGCAGCCACUGGGUGACCAGGAGCGAAUCUACAAAACCGGUCACAGUUCGGAUCGGAGUCUGCAACUCGACUCCGUAAGCUGGAAUCGCUAG